CUUUCCCCUUCUAUUUUGUUCCAUCAAAAUUUUGCUUGGCUACUUAAACAUUGAAAGGUCCCUCACAAAAUAAGUUCCAGCAAUCAUUGAUUGGCUUUUUUGCUUGCAGGUCAGAUCCCACAUCGUGCAAAUCAACUCUACCUAAGCCGACCGGCCUCCGUCACCAACACCAAGUCCAUCAGAUCAGCUUUUCGGUGGCAACAGUAUUUAUGGACAAAUAUAUGGGUGAAC
RNAcentral lists this long non-coding RNA (231 nucleotides) under Elaeis guineensis (African oil palm). Its description in RNAcentral is "long non-coding RNA (EGUI_LNC023899)". Lineage: Eukaryota; Viridiplantae; Streptophyta; Magnoliopsida; Arecales; Arecaceae. The record is from RNAcentral.